AUUGAACGCUUGCGGCAGGCCUAACACAUGCAAGUCGAACGAGUGGCGGACGGGUGAGUAAUGUCUGGGAAACUGCCCGAUGGAGGGGGAUAACUACUGGAAACGGUAGCUAAUACCGCAUACCAUCGGAUGUGCCCAGAUGGGUUUAGCUAGUAGGUGGGGUAACGGCUCAGCUAGGCGACGAUCCCUAGCUGGUCUGAGAGGAUGACCGGGCACACUGGGACUGAAACACGGUCCAGACUCCUACGUGGUGGAGCAGUAGGGGAUAAUGAACAAGGGGCGCAAGCCUGAUACAGCCAUGCCGCGUGUAUGAAGAAGGCCUUCGGGUUGUAAAGUACUUUCAGCGAGGAAGCGUUACUCGCAGAAGAAGCACCGGCUAACUCCGUGCCAGCAGCCGCGGUAAUAC
RNAcentral lists this ribosomal RNA (406 nucleotides) under uncultured bacterium. RNAcentral's name for it is "partial 16S ribosomal RNA". It matches the Rfam family "Bacterial small subunit ribosomal RNA", at positions 30 to 526 of the family's 1533-position model. The record is from RNAcentral.